This 2558-nucleotide ribosomal RNA is filed under the name Escherichia coli. RNAcentral's name for it is "partial 23S ribosomal RNA". It matches the Rfam family "Bacterial large subunit ribosomal RNA", at positions 375 to 2915 of the family's 2925-position model. The record is from RNAcentral. Lineage: Bacteria; Pseudomonadati; Pseudomonadota; Gammaproteobacteria; Enterobacterales; Enterobacteriaceae.
GUACACAAAAAUGCACAUAUUGUGAGCUCGAUGAGUAGGGCGGGACACGUGGUAUCCUGUCUGAAUAUGGGGGGACCAUCCUCCAAGGCUAAAUACUCCUGACUGACCGAUAGUGAACCAGUACCGUGAGGGAAAGGCGAAAAGAACCCCGGCGAGGGGAGUGAAAAAGAACCUGAAACCGUGUACGUACAAGCAGUGGGAGCCUCUUAAUGGGGUGACUGCGUACCUUUUGUAUAAUGGGUCAGCGACUUAUAUUCUGUAGCAAGGUUAACCGAAUAGGGGAGCCGAAGGGAAACCGAGUCUUAACUGGGCGUUAAGUUGCAGGGUAUAGACCCGAAACCCGGUGAUCUAGCCAUGGGCAGGUUGAAGGUUGGGUAACACUAACUGGAGGACCGAACCGACUAAUGUUGAAAAAUUAGCGGAUGACUUGUGGCUGGGGGUGAAAGGCCAAUCAAACCGGGAGAUAGCUGGUUCUCCCCGAAAGCUAUUUAGGUAGCGCCUCGUGAAUUCAUCUCCGGGGGUAGAGCACUGUUUCGGCAAGGGGGUCAUCCCGACUUACCAACCCGAUGCAAACUGCGAAUACCGGAGAAUGUUAUCACGGGAGACACACGGCGGGUGCUAACGUCCGUCGUGAAGAGGGAAACAACCCAGACCGCCAGCUAAGGUCCCAAAGUCAUGGUUAAGUGGGAAACGAUGUGGGAAGGCCCAGACAGCCAGGAUGUUGGCUUAGAAGCAGCCAUCAUUUAAAGAAAGCGUAAUAGCUCACUGGUCGAGUCGGCCUGCGCGGAAGAUGUAACGGGGCUAAACCAUGCACCGAAGCUGCGGCAGCGACACUAUGUGUUGUUGGGUAGGGGAGCGUUCUGUAAGCCUGUGAAGGUGGCCUGUGAGGGUUGCUGGAGGUAUCAGAAGUGCGAAUGCUGACAUAAGUAACGAUAAAGCGGGUGAAAAGCCCGCUCGCCGGAAGACCAAGGGUUCCUGUCCAACGUUAAUCGGGGCAGGGUGAGUCGACCCCUAAGGCGAGGCCGAAAGGCGUAGUCGAUGGGAAACAGGUUAAUAUUCCUGUACUUGGUGUUACUGCGAAGGGGGGACGGAGAAGGCUAUGUUGGCCGGGCGACGGUUGUCCCGGUUUAAGCGUGUAGGCUGGUUUUCCAGGCAAAUCCGGAAAACCAAGGCUGAGGCGUGAUGACGAGGCACUACGGUGCUGAAGCGACAAAUGCCCUGCUUCCAGGAAAAGCCUCUAAGCAUCAGGUAACAUCAAAUCGUACCCCAAACCGACACAGGUGGUCAGGUAGAGAAUACCAAGGCGCUUGAGAGAACUCGGGUGAAGGAACUAGGCAAAAUGGUGCCGUAACUUCGGGAGAAGGCACGCUGAUAUGUAGGUGAAGCGACUUGCUCGUGGAGCUGAAAUCAGUCGAAGAUACCAGCUGGCUGCAACUGUUUAUUAAAAACACAGCACUGUGCAAACACGAAAGUGGACGUAUACGGUGUGACGCCUGCCCGGUGCCGGAAGGUUAAUUGAUGGGGUUAGCGGCAACGCGAAGCUCUUGAUCGAAGCCCCGGUAAACGGCGGCCGUAACUAUAACGGUCCUAAGGUAGCGAAAUUCCUUGUCGGGUAAGUUCCGACCUGCACGAAUGGCGUAAUGAUGGCCAGGCUGUCUCCACCCGAGACUCAGUGAAAUUGAACUCGCUGUGAAGAUGCAGUGUACCCGCGGCAAGACGGAAAGACCCCGUGAACCUUUACUAUAGCUUGAUACUGAACAUUGAGCCUUGAUGUGUAGGAUAGGUGGGAGGCUUUGAAGUGUGGACGCCAGUCUGCAUGGAGCCGGCCUUGAAAUACCACCCUUUAAUGUUUGAUGUUCUAACGUGGGCCCCUUACCGGGGUUGCGGACAGUGUCUGGUGGGUAGUUUGACUGGGGCGGUCUCCUCCUAAAGAGUAACGGAGGAGCACGAAGGUUGGCUAAUCCUGGUCGGACAUCAGGAGGUUAGUGCAAUGGCAUAAGCCAGCUUGACUGCGAGCGUGACGGCGCGAGCAGGUGCGAAAGCAGGUCAUAGUGAUCCGGUGGUUCUGAAUGGAAGGGCCAUCGCUCAACGGAUAAAAGGUACUCCGGGGAUAACAGGCUGAUACCGCCCAAGAGUUCAUAUCGACGGCGGUGUUUGGCACCUCGAUGUCGGCUCAUCACAUCCUGGGGCUGAAGUAGGUCCCAAGGGUAUGGCUGUUCGCCAUUUAAAGUGGUACGCGAGCUGGGUUUAGAACGUCGUGAGACAGUUCGGUCCCUAUCUGCCGUGGGCGCUGGAGAACUGAGGGGGGCUGCUCCUAGUACGAGAGGACCGGAGUGGACGCAUCACUGGUGUUCGGGUUGUCAUGCCAAUGGCACUGCCCGGUAGCUAAAUGCGGAAGAGAUAAGUGCUGAAAGCAUCUAAGCACGAAACUUGCCCCGAGAUGAGUUCUCCCUGACCCUUUAAGGGUCCUGAAGGAACGUUGAAGACGACGACGUUGAUAGGCCGGGUGUGUAAGCGCAGCGAUGCGUUGAGCUAACCGGUACUAAUGAACCGUGAGG